UGCUGAUAUGUUGCCUAAAAAAGACAGUGAACAGUUAAAAAGAAAAGAAAAGGAAUGUGGGAAAGAAGUUGAAACAACAACUCAAACAGACUCUGAAAUCACUGGUCACAGAAUUGAGGACAUUAGGAAAGAAUUUGGAUCAGGUUGUGCAGAAGCGAAGCGAUACCCACAAGCAACUUUCUGAAGAGCAGAAUGCCAGAAUAUUACAAGAUGAGAUUCUGACCAAAGUAACUGCAAUUUGAUGGAGGGAGGACUAGAAGUAGAAUCAGAAGACCUGGGGAAAAUCCUGCAUCUUGCAUAUAUUUCAGUCUCUCCUCUUCAGAAUUGCGACCUUAAAUGAGUUCAGUAAUGUAUGUAAAAGUGCAAUGCUUAGAUGUAGAAGUGUAAAAUGUAGAAAUGUACAAUGC
RNAcentral lists this long non-coding RNA (407 nucleotides) under Pan troglodytes (chimpanzee). RNAcentral's name for it is "lncRNA (ENSPTRG00000054223.1)". Lineage: Eukaryota; Metazoa; Chordata; Mammalia; Primates; Hominidae. The record is from RNAcentral.